CGCCUUUUGAAUUAUAUAAAAGGUAACGCCUGCCCAGUGACAUCAUGUUCAACGGCCGCGGUAUUCUGACCGUGCGAAGGUAGCGUAAUCACUUGUCUUUUAAAUAAAGACUAGUAUGAAUGGCAUCACGAGGAUUUAGCUGUCUCCUUAAGCUCAUCAGUGAAACUGAUCUCCCCGUGCAAAAACGGGGAUAAAUUCAUAAGACGAGAAGACCCUAUGGAGCUUAAAACUAAUAGCCGCCUAUGCUAUCUGCUAAUAUAAAUAGCACUAUAACAAUAAAUCCGGCCUACGUUUUCAGUUGGGGUGACUAUGGAGAAAAACUCAUCCUCCAUGAAGAAACAAGCCCUGAGUUACCACUCUAUGCAUUAGCAAGCCUGACUUUACUUGAUCCAAUCUCUUUGAUCAACGGACCAAGUUACCCUAGGGAUAACAGCGCAAUCCAUUUCAAGAGUCCUUAUCGACAAAUGGGUUUACGACCUCGAUGUUGGAUUAGGACACCCUAGUGGUGCAGCCGCUACUAACGGUUCGUUUGUUCAACGAUUAAAGUCCUA
RNAcentral lists this ribosomal RNA (551 nucleotides) under Leptobrachium ailaonicum (Yunnan mustache toad). Its description in RNAcentral is "partial 16S ribosomal RNA". It matches the Rfam family "Bacterial large subunit ribosomal RNA", at positions 1819 to 2598 of the family's 2925-position model. The record is from RNAcentral. Lineage: Eukaryota; Metazoa; Chordata; Amphibia; Anura; Megophryidae.